Molecule: ribosomal RNA, 343 nt
Filed under: uncultured Glomus
Lineage: Eukaryota; Fungi; Glomeromycota; Glomeromycetes; Glomerales; Glomeraceae
Description: SSU rRNA
Rfam family: Eukaryotic small subunit ribosomal RNA
Source: RNAcentral
AGCAGCCGCGGUAAUUCCAGCUCCAAUAGCGUAUAUUAAAGUUGUUGCAGUUAAAAAGCCCGUAGUUGAAUUUCGGGGUCAGUAGGUCGGUCGUGCCACUGGUAUGAACUGGUUUUACUGAUUCCUCCCUCUUGAAGAACUGUAAUGCCAUUAAUUUGGUGUUGCAGGGAAUCAGGACUGUUACUUUGAAAAAUUAGAGUGUUUAAAGCAGGCUUUAGCUUGAAUACAUUAGCAUGGAAUAAUGAAAUAGGACGUUUGAUCCUAUUUUGUUGGUUUCUAGGAUUGACGUAAUGAUUAAUAGGGAUAGUUGGGGCAUUAGUAUUCAAUUGUCAGAGGUGAAAUU